AACCUGGUUGAUCCUGCCAGUACUGCAUAUGCUGUGUCUCAAAGAUUACAGCCAUGCAUGUCUAAGUAUAAACAUUUUAUACUGUGAAACUGCGAAUGGCUCAUUAAAGUCAGUUAUAGUCUUAUGCGAUGGUACACUUACUACUCGGAUACCCGUAGUAGAUCUCUAGAGCUAAUACGUGCGUAACUCCCGACUUCUGGAAGGGAUGUAUUUAUUAGAUAAAAGACCGACCGGGCUUGCCCGUUUUCCGGUGACUCAUGAUAAUCUUCACGACAACGCAUGGCCUUUGCGCUGGCGAUGUUUCAUUCAAAUUUCUGCCCUAUCAACUUUCGAUGGUAAGGUAGUGGCUUACCAUGGUGGUAGCGGGUGACGGAGCGAUUAGGGUUCGAUUCCGGAGAGGGAGCCUGA
This 408-nucleotide ribosomal RNA is filed under the name uncultured marine eukaryote. RNAcentral describes it as "bacterial SSU rRNA". It matches the Rfam family "Eukaryotic small subunit ribosomal RNA", at positions 1 to 399 of the family's 1831-position model. The record is from RNAcentral.